CCUACGGGUGGCAGCAGUGAGGAAUAUUGGUCAAUGGGCGGAAGCCUGAACCAGCCAAGUAGCGUGCAGGAUGACGGCCCUACGGGUUGUAAACUGCUUUUAUACGGGAAUAACGCGCCUUACGUGUAGGGCUUUGCAUGUACCGUAUGAAUAAGGACCGGCUAAUUCCGUGCCAGCAGCCGCGGUAAUACGGAAGGUCCGGGCGUUAUCCGGAUUUUAUGGGUUUAAAGGGAGCGUAGGCCGCAUGUCAAGCGUGCGGUGAAAUGUCCGGGCUCAACCCGGGCCUUGCAGCGCGAACUGGCGUGCUUGAGUCCGCGGAAGGCAGGCGGAAUUCGUCGUGUAGCGGUGAAAUGCUUAGAUAUGACGAAGAACCCCGAUUGCGAAGGCAGCUUGCUGCAGCGGAACUGACGCUGAUGCUCGAAAGCGCGGGUAUCGAACAGGAUUAGAUACCCCUGUAGUC
This 460-nucleotide ribosomal RNA is filed under the name uncultured bacterium. RNAcentral's name for it is "partial 16S ribosomal RNA". It matches the Rfam family "Bacterial small subunit ribosomal RNA", at positions 338 to 795 of the family's 1533-position model. The record is from RNAcentral.